Long non-coding RNA from Carassius carassius (crucian carp), 637 nucleotides. RefSeq lists it as uncharacterized. Lineage: Eukaryota; Metazoa; Chordata; Actinopteri; Cypriniformes; Cyprinidae. The record is from RefSeq and is a predicted model, not a curated record. The transcript has 3 exons.
GGAGCUGUAUGUAGGAUUGUGGCCUAAACUGGUACUAGAAUCACUAUAAAAAUACUGCAGAGCGGUGUAUCCCCUCCCCCUCCCCCCUGACUCGAGGUUACCAGAUAAGCUGCAGGAUUCAGCAGAAACGUAGGCUGCUUCAUUGAGCUUCCAAUGGCAGGUGACGAACAGACGUACACACCUGAUUUAGAUCUCAGUUAUGAGGUGCCCGCUGUCCUAAGUGAGGCUGAUGAGAGCUGGGAAGGCGAGAGGAGGCGCAGACAAAGGAAAAGAAGAGCAAAGGGGAGAGGGACAAGAGUAGAGCGUGCAGGUCUUGGUCCAGGAGACACAGAGCAGAGAGAAGGAGUGAAUUUAGAGGGAUGAGAUGGACCAGGUGGAAGAGGCCAGAGAGCUGGAAGAGAGUGCAGAUGUUUCAGGUGGAAAAGGAGAGAGUGUGAGCCCUGCACCCGGUGACAGAGGCCAGAGAGGUGGAAGAGGCCAGAGAGGUGGAAGAGGUCAGAGAGGUGGAAGAGGAGAUAAUGCAGGUCCAAGUACUGGAGUUGGCAGCAGAGGAAGGAGAGGGAGAGGAGGCAGAGAUGCAGAGGAAGAGAACAGUGUUCAGAUGAUCCAAAUUGACCGAAGGGUCCGGACAGAGGUU